UACGUAGGGUGCAAGCGUUAAUCGGAAUUACUGGGCGUAAAGCGUGCGCAGGCGGUGAUGUAAGUCAGAUGUGAAAUCCCCGGGCUCAACCUGGGAACUGCAUUUGUGACUGCAUCGCUGGAGUGCGGCAGAGGGGGAUGGAAUUCCGCGUGUAGCAGUGAAAUGCGUAGAUAUGCGGAGGAACACCGAUGGCGAAGGCAGCCCCCUGGGCUAACACUGACGCUGAGGCACGAAAGCGUGGGGAGCAAACAGG
Molecule: ribosomal RNA, 253 nt
Filed under: uncultured bacterium
Lineage: Bacteria
Description: partial 16S ribosomal RNA
Rfam family: Bacterial small subunit ribosomal RNA
Source: RNAcentral